RNAcentral lists this transfer RNA (86 nucleotides) under Candidatus Berkelbacteria bacterium CG_4_8_14_3_um_filter_39_27. Its description in RNAcentral is "tRNA-Ser". It matches the Rfam family "tRNA". From Rfam's summary of the family: Transfer RNA (tRNA) molecules are approximately 80 nucleotides in length. The record is from RNAcentral. Lineage: Bacteria; Candidatus Berkelbacteria.
GGAGGAGUGUGCCGAAUGGUAAGGCACCGGUUUCGAAAACCGGCGUCCGCAAGGACUUGCAGGUUCAAAUCCUGUCUCCUCCGCAA